This 74-nucleotide transfer RNA is filed under the name Streptomyces sp. BK022. RNAcentral's name for it is "tRNA-Pro". It matches the Rfam family "tRNA". Rfam says of the family: Transfer RNA (tRNA) molecules are approximately 80 nucleotides in length. Their secondary structure includes four short double-helical elements and three loops (D, anti-codon, and T loops). The record is from RNAcentral. Lineage: Bacteria; Bacillati; Actinomycetota; Actinomycetes; Kitasatosporales; Streptomycetaceae.
CUGGAUGUAGCGCAGCCCGGUAGCGCGCCUGCUUUGGAUGCAGGGGGUCGCAGGUUCGAAUCCUGCCAUCCAGA